GAAAGUAAACAAGGGCGCAUGGAGGAUGCCUAGGCUCUCGGAGGCGAAGAAGGACGUGAUAAGCUGCGAAAAGUUACGGUAAGGCGCAAAUAGCCCUAGACCCGUAAAUAUCCGAAUGGGGCAACCCGGCCAGCAAUGGCCAUACCGCUAAGCGGUAAGCCAACGCGGGGAACUGAAACAUCUAAGUACCCGCAGGAAAAGAAAAUAACCAUGAUUCCGCAAGUAGUGGCGAGCGAACGCGGAACAGCCCAAACCACCCGUGUUACGGCACGAGUGGGGUAGAAGGAUCCACGCUACGGCAAGAAAUAAGUUAGCAGAAUACGAUGGAAAUCGUAGCCAAAGACGGUGACAGCCCAGUACGCGAAAACCGACAGAAGCCCAGUGGACACCUGAGUAACCCAGGACACGAGAAAUCCGGGGCGAAUCAGCGGGGCCCAUCCCGUAAGGCUAAAUACUCCCGAGAGACCGAUAGCGAACCAGUACUGUGAAGGAAAGGUGAAAAGAACCUCGAACAGAGGAGUGAAACAGACCCUGAAACCAUGCGCCUACAAGCGGUCGGAGCAUGUUAAAAUGUGACGGCGUGCCUUUUGCAUAAUGAACCUACGAGUUACUCUCGCUGGCAAGGUUAAGCGAUUCAGUCGCGCAGCCGAAGCGAAAGCAAGUCCGAAUAAGGCGUACAGUCAGCGGGAGUAGACGCGAAACCAAGUGAUCUACCCUUGGUCAGGUUGAAGGUUGGGUAACACCAACUGGAGGACCGCACCGAUAAGCGUUGAAAAGCUUACGGAUGAACUGAGGGUAGGAGUGAAAGGCCAAUCAAACUUGGAGAUAGCUCGUACUCCCCGAAAUGCAUUUAGGUGCAGCCUCGAAGUAAAGUGAUAGAGGUAGAGCGACUGAUAAGAUGCGAGGGCUUCACCGCCUAUCAAGUCUUGACAAACUCCGAAUACUAUCACUUGAUCUUCGGGAGUGAGGGCAUGGGUGCUAAGGUCCAUGUCCGAAAGAGGAACAACUCAGACCACCAGCUAAGGUCCCGAAAUAAGGGCUAAGUUGAAUAAACGAAGUAAAACUGCAAAGACAGCUAGGAUGUUGGCUUGGAAGCAGCCAUUCAUUUAAAGAGUGCGUAACAGCUCACUAGUCGAGGAGUUUUGCAUGGAUAAUAAUCGGGCAUAAGCCCUUUACCGAAGCUGUGGAUGUCGCAAGACAUGGUAGGGGAGCAUUCCGGCGGCGACGAAGGCCGUCCUCGAGGACGACUGGAGCUUUCGGAAAAGCAAAUGUAGGUAUAAGUAACGAUAAAGGGGGCGCGAAACCCCCUCGCCAUAAGACUAAGGAUUCCUGAUCAACGCUAAUCGGAUCAGGGUAAGUCGGGCCCUAAGGCGCAGCCGAACGGCGCAGCCGAUGGAAGAAACGGUAAAGAUUCCGUUACUGGAUAUAGGAGCGAUGUGGAGACGGAGAAGUGACACACCCGCCUGCCGACGGAAGCGCAGGUUAAAGGAAGUAGGUAGACGCCGGGUAGGCAAAUCCGCCCAGCGUGCCGAAGCUGACAGUAUCGAGAGCCCCCGGGCAAUCGAAUAGCGGUGGUAAUCAGGCUCCCAAGAAAAUCCGCUAAGCAAAUUCUAUAUUCACCCGUACCCCAAACGGACACACGUAGUCGGGUAGAAUAUACCAAGGCGCUCGAAAGACUCACGGUUAAGGAACUAGGCAAAUUGACCCUGUAACCUCGGGAAAAAGGGUCCCCAGUAAGAUGGGGCGCAGAGAAUAGGUCCAGGCAACUGUUUAACAAAAACACAGGGCUGUGCAAAAUUUAGAGAUGAAGUAUACAGCCUGACACCUGCCCGGUGCCGGAAGGUUAAGAGGAGAGCUAAUCGCAAGAGAAGGCUUGAAUUGAAGCCCCGGUAAACGGCGGCCGUAACUAUAACGGUCCUAAGGUAGCGAAAUUCCUUGUCGGGU
Molecule: ribosomal RNA, 1944 nt
Filed under: human gut metagenome
Description: bacterial LSU rRNA
Rfam family: Bacterial large subunit ribosomal RNA
Source: RNAcentral